UUCAUUUGCUGCCUCUGUAGUUCCUGAACAAACGUAUAAGGCGAACUGAUAAACAUCAAUACAGGAGGAAAGGGCAAGGCUGUGCAGUGCUGUUGUAUCCAGGCAUGCUGUAUCAGUCAGAGCACAAGCACGGCGCUGAACACUCCUGCAAACUAUGGGGACAAGUUUCCAGUGAGCUUUGCAUCGUGGGGAGAGCAAACCCCAAUCUCCUGCAAUAUAAGGUAACAUCCCUGCGAUACGUACAUCCUGCUGUGCAGCACAGCUGCAGGGCAGAGCCCGUUUCACUUCUUUCCUUUUUUGGAUCUGCGUGCACACGGUCCCUAAUGGAGCCGGAUACCAAGAACAGAAACCAAGUCACUACAGCGCCGCACGACUACCGGUGAUCCCCUCCCCUCGGCGAUAUCACCAUAAUCGCGAACCAUCCUCAAGCCCCGCACAAACCCCGUGCCCUACAGCAGCUCUAGGUACCGGGCACAGAACGAUCAGCCCGUCCCAAAGCUCCAACACAACCCACCGACCGCAAACUUAUCCCCCUCCCUGGGCUGCCCACCUUGGCGGAGGGGGCGGACCCCUGGACCCCUCCGGAGCCAAUGGCAGCGGGGAGGGCGCGGGGAGGCGG
This 619-nucleotide long non-coding RNA is filed under the name Gallus gallus (chicken). RNAcentral's name for it is "lncRNA (ENSGALG00010003741.1)". The record is from RNAcentral. Lineage: Eukaryota; Metazoa; Chordata; Aves; Galliformes; Phasianidae.